GUGACGUCACAAAGGGACGGGCCCGGGUGGAACCUUCUCCUCCUCCUCCGUGACGUCAAAAGUCGGGCGGGAGGUUCCAGCGCGGCGGGCCUGCGGGGGCGGAGGGAGCGGCGGGGAGGCGGGGGCUGCCGCGUGGGAGGAUGAGGAAGAGGAGGAGGAGGAUGCGACCGGCGUCGGCCUUCCGCCUUGACACGCCGCGCUUCCCCUCAGGUCUGCUGAUGGUGUGGCAUUGCUGCGGUGGUGGUCGUGUUCUCUCGCUAACGCUUUUGAAAAGCAAGGAAACUUCAUUCAGGGAAGCUUGGCUUUGUAAGAGGACCAUGUUGUGGAUUUGGUUACCAUGUCACUUUAAGUCGUGUGUAGGGUGUCUCCGCAGGAUGUGGCGGGAUGCCUUUCAGGGUGAUGCUGCCCAGCGUCAACUGUUGCUCUUUCUGGAAGCCUUGAAACAGCAGGGUGGCACUUCUUCGCUGUGCCAGCUCUAGGCUUAUGGAGUAUUUUGAGGGGCCAGACGAGGGAAGACUUCUCACUGAUACGUGUGCUUGGAAGAGCACUGGACUGUAAGUCUAAGGUGUUUUGGGCUUAGUUCUUCUGAACCGGAAAAUAAAGAGACUCGAAAUCUGAGUCUAUUUACUCUUCUGUAAAAUAGAAAAAGUAAUACCUGCCUUUGCCACUUCAGUUUAUCUGAGUUCACAUGCGUGAGAUAAUGUGCGUGAAAGAUGUAAAACUGCCAUCUGUGUAAGGUGGAAUUAUUACUUGAGCUGGUGAAGGCAGCACAUUUCCUACAAUUGGUCUCAAAAGCUUUCGAUGCCUGCCGCGUUGCCGUUUAGUUUAUUGCCUUAGCAAAGCAGAGUUUGGGGGUGGGAUUGUAGAUGGCAGGCUUUGGGAGAAAUGAUUGUUACAUUUCAUAUGAAAUGACGUCCUUGAGAAGCUCAUAAAUUGCGAUGUAAUCCUGUCUUAAUUGCUGGGCACGACUCCCACCACAAUACCUUGAAUAACUGAAAACGUUUGCCUUUCAAAACCCCAAUCCACUUGGACAAUAAAAACAGUUGCAUGUUUUGCUCUA
Molecule: non-coding RNA, 1060 nt
Organism: Vicugna pacos (alpaca)
Lineage: Eukaryota; Metazoa; Chordata; Mammalia; Artiodactyla; Camelidae
Source: RefSeq, a predicted model, not a curated record